This is a non-coding RNA of Sphingobacteriia bacterium, 108 nucleotides long. The record is from Rfam. NCBI's taxonomy places the organism in Bacteria, Pseudomonadati, Bacteroidota, Sphingobacteriia.
UGUGCGCGGGUAAGUCUUAUACGACCAGCUCCUGCUGAACCUCCCCAGGGCAGGAAUGCAGCAAGGAUAAGCGGUUGUAGCGGUGCGAUGUGAGUAGCCUGCCAUAUU